Molecule: small RNA, 1170 nt
Filed under: Arabidopsis thaliana (thale cress)
Lineage: Eukaryota; Viridiplantae; Streptophyta; Magnoliopsida; Brassicales; Brassicaceae
Description: ATSL092130
Source: RNAcentral
AUAAGCUCGUUCUGUUUUGUGCUCCUUGUUUGCCUAGGCAUACACCUGAAACACAGAAAAGAAGAAAACAAGAAACGCAUGAGUAACAAAAUAGAAGUAAAAACUAGACGAAAUCUCUAAACAAAACUCAAUGAUGAUUCCCAAGAAUUCCGGCAACGGCGCCAAGUUUGAUAUAAUUCAAAUUACAUAGAACUACUCUCUCAAAUAAGACAUCAAUUACGGUAUUUUAGGAUCAAAUUCACAGAGUUCUUUUGUUCAAACAAUGAGUUAAAUGUCGAGAUUAAGCUAGCAGGGUAUCAGUGAAAAUAAAAGAGAACAAAGUAAAAAGACAGCAGAUUGAUUGUGUUGUAAACGAUUUAAUAAAGAGCUAGGAACAGGGUAUUCUCAGGAAACUAUUGGUUAGUAGAUCUAAUGAAAGCUAGGUUGUUAUCAAACCAUUCUUAAACUCAAACUCUAAUUAUGGAAUAACCGGUGGGUGUGACGCGAAACUCCCUAUAUCUAUAGCUAAUAAUAACCGGAGAAGCCGAGAAACUAUCAACCUUAAUAUGCAUUCUCAACGAGUUCAAUUGUUCAUCUUAGUAAAUAGACCGAUUCUUAUUACACACUUAUAAACCAGACUCAUCAAAUAAUAGAUCCAACUAUAGAUACCUAUGGCUGGAAUAUCUAUUGUCUGGAUUCAAGAUCUAGUUAAUUACUCUAGAUCUAGCAUUAAGCAUAAUUAAAGAUGAAGAAUUCUAUAGAUAACCUAGCAAAGGGGGCAAUCUACUAAACCAUAUGAAUCCCUAAUGAGAAACUUUAUUCCUAACAAGCAGACUACUCAGACAUAUUGGAUGAAGCAAACAACAUAUUUGAGUGUGAAAGCAUAAACACAGUAAAUGGAGAAGGGGAAAGAAGGGAUCUCUUCACUGUAUAUCGAUUUGAAUGAAACUCUGAGAAAACAAUCGAUGAAUAGCUUAUGUCUCUCACAAUAGGGUUUGCAAAGAACUUGAUAAAAGACUUGAUAAAAGAAACUUAGGUCUAAAAACAAUAUAUAUAGACCCUAAAAACGUCCAGAGACUAAUAAUGCAAAUAGGGAAGUCUUCUAGGGCAAAUUUGAUCUUCUAUAAACUUGAAAGCGUCUACGGUUUUUGCAGGGCCGAAACUGGUGUCGAUCGACACCAAGAGUGUGUC